GGGUUGUGAGGUUAAGCGACUAAGCGUACACGGUGGAUGCCCUGGCAGUCAGAGGCGAUGAAGGACGUGCUAAUCUGCGAUAAGCGUCGGUAAGGUGAUAUGAACCGUUAUAACCGGCGAUUUCCGAAUGGGGAAACCCAGUGUGUUUCGACACACUAUCAUUAACUGAAUCCAUAGGUUAAUGAGGCGAACCGGGGGAACUGAAACAUCUAAGUACCCCGAGGAAAAGAAAUCAACCGAGAUUCCCCCAGUAGCGGCGAGCGAACGGGGAGGAGCCCAGAGCCUGAAUCAGUGUGUGUGUUAGUGGAAGCGUCUGGAAAGGCGCGCGAUACAGGGUGACAGCCCCGUACACAAAAAUGCACAUGCUGUGAGCUCGAUGAGUAGGGCGGGACACGUGGUAUCCUGUCUGAAUAUGGGGGGACCAUCCUCCAAGGCUAAAUACUCCUGACUGACCGAUAGUGAACCAGUACCGUGAGGGAAAGGCGAAAAGAACCCCGGCGAGGGGAGUGAAAAAGAACCUGAAACCGUGUACGUACAAGCAGUGGGAGCCUCUUUUAUGGGGUGACUGCGUACCUUUUGUAUAAUGGGUCAGCGACUUAUAUUCUGUAGCAAGGUUAACCGAAUAGGGGAGCCGAAGGGAAACCGAGUCUUAACUGGGCGUUAAGUUGCAGGGUAUAGACCCGAAACCCGGUGAUCUAGCCAUGGGCAGGUUGAAGGUUGGGUAACACUAACUGGAGGACCGAACCGACUAAUGUUGAAAAAUUAGCGGAUGACUUGUGGCUGGGGGUGAAAGGCCAAUCAAACCGGGAGAUAGCUGGUUCUCCCCGAAAGCUAUUUAGGUAGCGCCUCGUGAAUUCAUCUCCGGGGGUAGAGCACUGUUUCGGCAAGGGGGUCAUCCCGACUUACCAACCCGAUGCAAACUGCGAAUACCGGAGAAUGUUAUCACGGGAGACACACGGCGGGUGCUAACGUCCGUCGUGAAGAGGGAAACAACCCAGACCGCCAGCUAAGGUCCCAAAGUCAUGGUUAAGUGGGAAACGAUGUGGGAAGGCCCAGACAGCCAGGAUGUUGGCUUAGAAGCAGCCAUCAUUUAAAGAAAGCGUAAUAGCUCACUGGUCGAGUCGGCCUGCGCGGAAGAUGUAACGGGGCUAAACCAUGCACCGAAGCUGCGGCAGCGACGCUUAUGCGUUGUUGGGUAGGGGAGCGUUCUGUAAGCCUGUGAAGGUGUGCUGUGAGGCAUGCUGGAGGUAUCAGAAGUGCGAAUGCUGACAUAAGUAACGAUAAAGCGGGUGAAAAGCCCGCUCGCCGGAAGACCAAGGGUUCCUGUCCAACGUUAAUCGGGGCAGGGUGAGUCGACCCCUAAGGCGAGGCCGAAAGGCGUAGUCGAUGGGAAACAGGUUAAUAUUCCUGUACUUGGUGUUACUGCGAAGGGGGGACGGAGAAGGCUAUGUUGGCCGGGCGACGGUUGUCCCGGUUUAAGCGUGUAGGCUGGUUUUCCAGGCAAAUCCGGAAAAUCAAGGCUGAGGCGUGAUGACGAGGCACUACGGUGCUGAAGCAACAAAUGCCCUGCUUCCAGGAAAAGCCUCUAAGCAUCAGGUAACAUCAAAUCGUACCCCAAACCGACACAGGUGGUCAGGUAGAGAAUACCAAGGCGCUUGAGAGAACUCGGGUGAAGGAACUAGGCAAAAUGGUGCCGUAACUUCGGGAGAAGGCACGCUGAUAUGUAGGUGAAGCGACUUGCUCGUGGAGCUGAAAUCAGUCGAAGAUACCAGCUGGCUGCAACUGUUUAUUAAAAACACAGCACUGUGCAAACACGAAAGUGGACGUAUACGGUGUGACGCCUGCCCGGUGCCGGAAGGUUAAUUGAUGGGGUCAGCGCAAGCGAAGCUCUUGAUCGAAGCCCCGGUAAACGGCGGCCGUAACUAUAACGGUCCUAAGGUAGCGAAAUUCCUUGUCGGGUAAGUUCCGACCUGCACGAAUGGCGUAAUGAUGGCCAGGCUGUCUCCACCCGAGACUCAGUGAAAUUGAACUCGCUGUGAAGAUGCAGUGUACCCGCGGCAAGACGGAAAGACCCCGUGAACCUUUACUAUAGCUUGACACUGAACAUUGAGCCUUGAUGUGUAGGAUAGGUGGGAGGCUUUGAAGUGUGGACGCCAGUCUGCAUGGAGCCGACCUUGAAAUACCACCCUUUAAUGUUUGAUGUUCUAACGUUGACCCGUAAUCCGGGUUGCGGACAGUGUCUGGUGGGUAGUUUGACUGGGGCGGUCUCCUCCUAAAGAGUAACGGAGGAGCACGAAGGUUGGCUAAUCCUGGUCGGACAUCAGGAGGUUAGUGCAAUGGCAUAAGCCAGCUUGACUGCGAGCGUGACGGCGCGAGCAGGUGCGAAAGCAGGUCAUAGUGAUCCGGUGGUUCUGAAUGGAAGGGCCAUCGCUCAACGGAUAAAAGGUACUCCGGGGAUAACAGGCUGAUACCGCCCAAGAGUUCAUAUCGACGGCGGUGUUUGGCACCUCGAUGUCGGCUCAUCACAUCCUGGGGCUGAAGUAGGUCCCAAGGGUAUGGCUGUUCGCCAUUUAAAGUGGUACGCGAGCUGGGUUUAGAACGUCGUGAGACAGUUCGGUCCCUAUCUGCCGUGGGCGCUGGAGAACUGAGGGGGGCUGCUCCUAGUACGAGAGGACCGGAGUGGACGCAUCACUGGUGUUCGGGUUGUCAUGCCAAUGGCACUGCCCGGUAGCUAAAUGCGGAAGAGAUAAGUGCUGAAAGCAUCUAAGCACGAAACUUGCCCCGAGAUGAGUUCUCCCUGACUCCUUGAGAGUCCUGAAGGAACGUUGAAGACGACGACGUUGAUAGGCCGGGUGUGUAAGCGCAGCGAUGCGUUGAGCUAACCGGUACUAAUGAACCGUGAGGCUUAACCUUACAACGCCGAAGGUGUUU
This 2931-nucleotide ribosomal RNA is filed under the name Escherichia coli. RNAcentral describes it as "bacterial LSU rRNA". It matches the Rfam family "Bacterial large subunit ribosomal RNA". The record is from RNAcentral. RNAcentral also lists the same sequence under 1 other name. Lineage: Bacteria; Pseudomonadati; Pseudomonadota; Gammaproteobacteria; Enterobacterales; Enterobacteriaceae.